GGGGAGCAGGAGGAAAAUAGCGUAGGAUGGCGGCUCAAAUUCCAAUUGUGGCUGCCCCUUCCACUCCAGGGAUAGCUCGGAAUAGCAAGAAAAGGCCUGCUAGCCCUUCCCACAACGGCAACAGCGGAGGGGGGUACAGCACCGGUAAGAAGAAAAAGCUCUCCGGCCCUGGCUUUGCGCAGGGCAUCAGCAUGGAAGCCAUGAGUGACAAUAAAGUGGUGUCCUCUGAGUUUAGCACAGGCCCUGUGGAAAAAGCUGCCAAACCUUUGCCAUUUAAGGAUCCCAACUUUGUGCACUCUGGCCAUGGUGGUGCAGUAGCUGGCAAGAAGAACGGAACCUGGAAGAACCUGAAACAAAUUCUCACUGCUGAAAGGAAAUCUGUGGAUACUGUUAAUGUGCAGAAAUGA
Molecule: RNA transcript, 407 nt
Organism: Octodon degus (degu)
Lineage: Eukaryota; Metazoa; Chordata; Mammalia; Rodentia; Octodontidae
Gene name: INO80 complex subunit C pseudogene
Exons: 2
Source: RefSeq, a predicted model, not a curated record